GGUCGGUUAGCUCAGUUGGUUAGAGCGUCGUACUAAUAAUGCGAAGGUCAUGGGUUCGACCCCCAUACUGACCA
This 74-nucleotide transfer RNA is filed under the name Xylariaceae sp. FL1651. Its description in RNAcentral is "tRNA-Ile". It matches the Rfam family "tRNA". Rfam says of the family: Transfer RNA (tRNA) molecules are approximately 80 nucleotides in length. Lineage: Eukaryota; Fungi; Ascomycota; Sordariomycetes; Xylariales; Xylariaceae. The record is from RNAcentral.